RNAcentral lists this ribosomal RNA (440 nucleotides) under uncultured bacterium. RNAcentral describes it as "partial 16S ribosomal RNA". It matches the Rfam family "Bacterial small subunit ribosomal RNA", at positions 338 to 795 of the family's 1533-position model. The record is from RNAcentral.
CCUACGGGUGGCAGCAGUGGGGAAUAUUGCACAAUGGGGGAAACCCUGAUGCAGCGACGCCGCGUGAGUGAAGAAGUAAUUCGGUAUGUAAAGCUCUAUCAGCAGGGAAGAAAAUGACGGUACCUGAGUAAGAAGCCCCGGCUAACUACGUGCCAGCAGCCGCGGUAAUACGUAGGGGGCAAGCGUUAUUCGGAUUUACUGGGUGUAAAGGGAGCGUAGACGGCAGUGCAAGUCUGGAGUGAAAGGCGGGGGCUCAACCCCCGGACUGCUCUGGAAACUGUACGGCUGGAGUGCAGGAGAGGUAAGUGGAAUUCCUAGUGUAGAGGUGAAAUGCGUAGAUAUUAGGAGGAACACCAGUGGCGAAGGCGGCUUACUGGACUGUAACUGACGUUGAGGCUCGAAAGCGUGGGGAGCAAACAGGAUUAGAUACCCCUGUAGUC